GCUGACGAGUGGCGGACGGGUGAGUAAUGUCUGGGAAACUGCCUGAUGGAGGGGGAUAACUACUGGAAACGGUAGCUAAUACCGCAUAACGUCGCAAGACCAAAGAGGGGGACCUUCGGGCCUCUUGCCAUCGGAUGUGCCCAGAUGGGAUUAGCUAGUAGGUGGGGUAACGGCUCACCUAGGCGACGAUCCCUAGCUGGU
RNAcentral lists this ribosomal RNA (201 nucleotides) under Escherichia coli. RNAcentral's name for it is "partial 16S ribosomal RNA". It matches the Rfam family "Bacterial small subunit ribosomal RNA", at positions 87 to 291 of the family's 1533-position model. Lineage: Bacteria; Pseudomonadati; Pseudomonadota; Gammaproteobacteria; Enterobacterales; Enterobacteriaceae. RNAcentral also lists the same sequence under 1 other name. The record is from RNAcentral.